Long non-coding RNA from Amphiprion ocellaris (clown anemonefish), 2044 nucleotides. RefSeq lists it as uncharacterized. The transcript has 4 exons. Lineage: Eukaryota; Metazoa; Chordata; Actinopteri; Pomacentridae. The record is from RefSeq and is a predicted model, not a curated record.
UUGAAGAUGUUCCACCUGAUUUAAAGUUCAUGAUGAAAGUGGAACAUCUUCAAGAACAAAACACAAGGAGAACUCUGGAGGCCUAGAGAUCAAUAUUUAUUUCAUUUAUACAAUAAUAAUCAAUAAAAGCAACAACACACAUCUCACUAUGACUCAGAGUUCCAUUAGAUAGAACACAAGCGUCUGCAGAUCUAAUGAUGAGUUUAAAGGUUCAUCAAACGUUGAGAACAUUAAAGAAUGAAAGGGUUCCUGGUCGUCCAUCAUGGAGAGAAAUGCUGCUACUUCCUUUAGCUUCAGCUCAGCAGGUCAACAGACUCCAGAUGGAACCUUAUCCUCCUGCUGCAGAACAAACACUCUGUCUGUUUAAACCCACUGAGUUCUCUUGGAACAUUAGCACCAGGUAGAACCUUACAUGGAUUGAAUGAUGUAGUGGAUUCUGACUGGUGGUUGGUGUUUGUUGGUUUGUACUUUUUCUGUUCAGAUGCUGUGACUUCAUUUAUUUAUUUCAUCUAAUCCAGCAGGUUGAAAGAAGAAAACCUUUGUGUUGCUGGAAACUGAAAGAACCCAAACCCUGCAUGAACCAGUUCUAUUUAUCUAUGAAACCAGAUGGAACCAAUCAGUUGGUGGAACUCCAACAUGUCUGAAGGACAUAAAGGAGUGGAUGACCAGGGGUCCAUUUCACGAAGCAGGUUCAACAAACUCUGAGUUUAACCCUGAACUCUGAGUUGAUCUACUCUGAGACAGAAAACUCUGAGUUUUCGGUUUCACAACGGCUGAUUUGAGUUGGUUAAAUCAACUCGGAGUAGUUUCACCCGGAGUUAAGCGCGUGCACCACAACUCUGAAAAGCCAGUAUCAAUGGAGCGCCGAUUCGACGAGUCACCAUGGCAACGGGGAAGCGGAGGACUACACCGUUUGAAUUGGAAAUCUUAAUGCGCUUAUAUAGCGAGUUUGAAUACGUUUUUAGAAAGAAGUGCAGCACCUGCAGCUGCAACAGAGAGGGAGACGGCGUGGGAGAACAUUGCUGCCCUGUCAAUGCGUAAGUUUAAAUCACAAUAAUAUUACAGGGGAAGACUAUUAAGUUAUUUCAUUUAGGUGCAAUCCCGCGGGGGUGAAGCGCACGUGGCAGCAGCUGAAGAUGAAAUAUAAAAACAUUGUUCAAACAGGUAAGAAGUCGGCAUAAUCUCAUGGAGCUACCUCAUUUUGAUCAUGUUUUACAUUGUAAAGUAGCCUAAAUAUUAGGUGGCUGUUUGUCUGUGCAGUGGUUUUACCCCGCACAUAGCCUAAAUGUCUGCAUCCAUAUCAUGUUCUGUUAAACAAUUAAGCCUAUUUAAACUAACACAGACUUCCACUCAGCCAACAGAAAGAAAGCAGAUGCCCGUAAAACAGGUGGUGGCCCAGCACCACCACCUCUAACGGAGGCAGAGGAGCUGGUCCUAAGCCAGAAUUUGGGAAGGCCAGUGGCUGAGGGAAUCCCUGGAGGGAGCUCAUCCUCUGAGACCACCCCCCAAGACACAAGUGCUUUUAUAAAAUAUUCUGAUGGUACUAUCUGCCUGGUGGAGCCCCUUCACACCACAACAGACCUUGUAACUGAUGAAGAGGAUGAAACUGUCUGCUGCCUUUACAGAGGGGGAUCCAGAAAGGCAUACAGAGAGCAUGGCUGGACAGCAGCAGGAUGCUUCCUCAGCUUCCACUGCACAGAUUGACACAGUGAGAUGGAUGUUCAGUAAACACCAGAGGUUCAGUCCAUGGAAUUCAUGUGCAACUGUAUAAUUUAAGGUCCUUUAUGUAUUCCCAGUUACCAGUAAAACAAAUAUACAAAAUCCACUUGCUGAGAAAAAUACAAAAAACAGAUAAAGAAAUGCAGUACUUGGACCGCCAGAUUAAGAAGGCAGAUCUGGAAAUUGAAAUACUGGAGCACAAGUUAGAGGUGGGUGCAGGUCACAGGUGAAUUAUGUUAACUACUGGAACAUGAACUAAACUAGCUCUUUUAUUUGUAGGAAAUAAAGAAGACCAAAUGAAAUGUAUGUAAUGUGUUUAUUUCAC